Molecule: long non-coding RNA, 6909 nt
Filed under: Lactuca sativa (garden lettuce)
Lineage: Eukaryota; Viridiplantae; Streptophyta; Magnoliopsida; Asterales; Asteraceae
Description: long non-coding RNA (LSAT_LNC000487)
Source: RNAcentral
CCAACUCGUCGAGUUCGGCUCCUGACUCGGCGAGUACCAUCGUGCAUUCUGUCCUCUACAUUUCCUCUGACUCACCGAGUCACUUCCCCAACUCAGUGAGUCACCAACUGUGUGAUUAUCAGGAAAACCCUCGUCCUACUCGGCGAGUCGGCUAUCGGACUCGGCGAGUUCAUGCCAUGCUCAAGCUGAACUGACCUCCUGAGGUCAGAUCCGCUCCUCUAAACCGUAGAUCCAGCUUCCCAAAGCAUUAUAAUCACGUAAAGCUAACAUCUUGGUGCUCAUGCAAAGGCUCAAAGGCCUUAUUUGAAGAUAUGACCUCUAAAAUGACAUCCUAAGCUUAUAAACCCCAUUAACACUCAUAAAGCUCAAGGGAAAAGGGUCUCUGGACCUCUUUGGGUCCAGAUCUACAGCACCAACACGAGAAGGGACCAAUUACUCAAUAUAACCUUCCUCUAAAAGGGCUAAAAAAAGCCCUAACUCUAGGAAUUACACCAUAAACUGAAGAAGGGUCGAAUGAAUACCUCAAAAUGAAGUCUCUGAGCCCUGGAAUCACUAGAUUAGCACCCUCUUCAGCUUCCUCUUGUCUUGAUCCUCUUCUAUUUUUAAAAACACUAACAAAUGAUCAAGAAAUGGUUCCUUUCCUCUCACAAUCGCUCUAGCUCACUUAGGGUUUCCCUCUGGGUCUGGUAGCUNCGAUCCCUGAUCGCCACCGGUCUCUCAACUUAGUUCAGGCCCACAUCCACCUGAAUAUCCGCUAAUGGCACCACUGCCGACUCGUCGACUAUACACUUUCUCAGCUGCGACAUGUGGAAGGUGUCAUGAAUCUGACCUAACUCUGCAGGUAGCUCCAAAGGGUAUGCUACCCUUCCUACUCUUGCAAUCCCCCUGAAAGGACCAACACAUCGGGGCCCUGGCUUGCCUCUCUUCCUAAAUCGGAUCAUUCCUAUCCAAGGAGAGACCUUGAGGAGCACGGAGUCACCGACCAAAAUUUGAGCUCAGACCGGCGCCUGUCCGCAUAACUCUUCUGGCGACUCUGAUCGGUCAACAACCUCUGUCUGACCUAUUGUAUCUGCUCUAUCGUCUGAAGCACGAUCUCUGUACUACCCAUCACACGCUGCCCUACCUCUUCCAUCAAAUGGGGUCCGAUACUUCCUCCCAUACAACAGCUCAAAGGGUGGCAUACUGAUGCACUAAUGAUGGUUGUUGUUGUAGGAAAACUCUACCAAAGGCAAAUACGGGNCCCCCCCCCCCGAAAUCUAAUACACAUGCCAGAAGCAUGUCCUCGAGCGUCUGAAUCGUUCGCUCGCUUUGAAGUGUCCACAGACAUCACCAUGGUAAACUCUAACUCAUUUCUCAUAUCCCUCUUCGAUACUGAGCACCAGGUCAACUUUUGGCCCCACAGCUGAACCUCCAAAGGUCACGCAUAACAUGAUCCAAAAUAUCUCACUAACUUCCUCCCCGUGACCACUAUCCUGGCCCAGCGACACGCAAGUCACGAAAUUCUCUUCUCCUGAUAAAAGAUACAAUCCAAUCGAAGAUCGACUUAGCUCUGACCUCUGGCGUCUGUUGCGUAUAUUCUCCCGUGCAUCUCGUUGACUCUCCCGACAAAGAUGGAGACCCCAGUCUCGCCCCGGUUUAACCACUAAGCUCCAUAAACUCAAUACUAGGGCUACUCAAGCCUAAAACUCUUCUGCAUCGUACACUGAUCGAAGAACACUCCAUCAUCACACUCUCUUGCCGUCUAGUGAGUGUUAUGGCUUCCUGCAACAUCACGACAGCUCCUGACUAGUGAGUACUACGACCCCCCUCGUAGCACCCUAACACCAACUGACUAGUGAGUACUACGGCUCACCGCAAUACCACGACUCCCUCUCUUUGACUUGUGAGUACUACAGCUCCCCGUAGCAUCACAACACCCUCUGACUGGUGAAUACUAAGAAUCCCCGUAGUAUCACGACUCUCUCUCUGGCUUGUGAGUACUACGGCUCCCAGUAGCAUCACAACACCCUCUGACUAGUGAAUACUACGGCUCCCCGUAGCUUCACCCUAUACUCUCAUUCUCAUUACAACUCCACACUACGUUCACUAACUCAUGCACCGAAGACUAUCAUAGAUAGUUACACACACUUUCCCCAAUAUGCAUCACAGACUCUGGCGGCAACCGCUAUAACACAGAACCUACCUCUGCGGAGAUCCACUUCCUCAAAUAAUCCCUCUUGAUGUCAAUACGCGAAGGGCUCCCACUGGAACCGGAGAUACCUGAUACAUCACUAGUCGUCUCAAACUCAAGACUCUAAAUAACUCCGCAAUUGGGACGCUAUACGCGGAAACCCCGGAACACCAUUAUAGAGCAUCACAAUGUCCUGCCUCUACCACUGAUUCUCCUACUCCCAGUACCAUACAUAUACAGCAAUACAUUCCCUUUGAACCCCAUAAGUAAUCCUCAUUUCACUCAAUGCGCAACUUCAGUGUAUCCAAACACUCAAUAGAAAUACAAGGAAGGCGCUAACACUUCAGAACACACUGAUGAUCCUCCGAAACCCUUUCCUCUACUGCUCAAAGUCCAAGCAAGAAUACACAUACCCGCCCGGGAGUUGGCCGCUCGACGAUCUUCUACCCAGACUUCGACCCAGAAGUUCUCAACUGCCCAUACCAUCAUUACGAGCCUUCCACUUGAAACGGCCAUGACCACCACCAGGUUCCUGACCAUUGACCACCUGCCGUGGAGACACUCAUCUUUUCCUCAGACAUAUACCACAUGCAUCAUCUCGUCCGGUACCUUUCCUUGAUCACCAAUGACCCCGAUCUCAUGAAUUCAAGCCNUGAUUCCCUCAAUAAAAUACCCGGUUCUCCCCCACUUAGGUUUCGAACCAUCACCAACUGACGCAUCAACAAUCUACCCCACAGACGACUUAUACCAGAAACAUCGCAACUACGUUUGGAAGGUGCCACACAAUGCCCAAUGUUCUCCCCACGAAGAGAUCAAGAACCCUCAAUUACCCUAAAUCUCCUAAAAUAUCCUUAGGAACCCCUCAUUACGACUGCCUCUAGCCAUUCGAAGUCCCAUACCAUUCCAAUACCGAACACCUCAACUGUCCAGUACUAUCACUGACUCUUAGACUGAAAUAAUAAAUCAUCCUACCUCCAUCCUCGACUUCUCAGCCUCCGCUCCCACACAUGAAUCAUCUCAAGAAUAGGGACUCUACUACCGUACUCAAUACUCAUCAUAGACAGAAGAGCCACCGCUCUGAUAUACUCGACUGGGUUACCCACUGAUACCACUACCACACGCCCUAUUAUACUCAAUUAGGGUGUAAUGUGAUCCUUGACCAUUUCAGUCCCCACUGACUACCUGCUCAUGGUAGAUCAUUACCUCACGGCAGACAUGUUGCCUGAUACUCUGGUGGAAAAAUCGUCAUCAAUGUCGACCCGUAGGGUUUAUUCCUAAGACCAAAACUAAAAAUCUCAUGCCUCUCCUACUUCCUACGGGAAACAUAAAUAGCUCCCAUCCGGUCACAAAAGGUGAUAUCUCCUCCAUCGGCUGAUGGCUCACUCAGACCACAUUCCCCCAUAAAUACCUUCUCUUCGUCUUACCGAAAUACUCUGAAAUAUUCCCGACCUCCCUCUCAGGGGAUGCCUCUUCGAACUCGAUCAUGGCCCUCAGGCCUAAAACCCCAUUGUGUCCAAAUUCCAGCAGUUAAUCUUGACCGGACAACUGGAGAAUUACCAGCAUCGUUGCUAGGAACCAUGGUACUCAACCCAUGACAUCCCUUCUCAAUCUGCUACAAUAUAUGGUACCCGAACCACAACAUUAUUCCUCAAUCUGCUCCGAUGCAUGGUACACGAACCAUAACAUCACUCCUAAACCUGCUCCGAUGUAUGGCACACGAACCAUAACACCACUCCUAAAUCUGCUCCGAUGUAUGGUAUACGAACCAUAACAUCACUCCUCAAUCUGCUCCGAUGUAUGGCACACGAACCAUAACAUCACUCCUCAAUCUGCUCCGAUGUAUGGUACACGAACCAUAACAUCACUCCUCAAUCUGCUCCGAUGUAUGGCACACGAACCAUAACAUCAAUCCUUAAUCUGCUCCGAUAUAUGGUACACGAACCAUAACAUCAGUCCUCAAUCUGCUCCGAUGUAUGGUACACGAACCAUAACGUCACUCCUCAAUCUGCUCCGAUGGAUGGCACACGAACCAUAACAUCACUCCUCAAUCUGCUCCAAUGUAUGGUACACGAACCAUAACCUCAAUCUGCUCCGAUGUAUGGCACACGAACCAUAACAUCACUCCUCAAUCUGCUACUUAGAACCUUCAGAAUACUCCCUGUGUCGAGUAUGGGUCCUCUGCUUUCGGUAGUACGGGCCCAUACUACCUGCCACAUCUACCCAUACUUUCCACACGGACCAUCCUAGAGCUCCUAAGUAGCUGCUCAACCUUCUCGUUCACUAAUUCCACCACGCGUGCUCGCUCCUCAGCGAAAUGUUCUACUCUGUCAGCGUACUCAUCUGACUAAGGUUACUCUCUAGGCUCUUCCUUGGUCCUCCCACUUCUCUGCCAUUAGCUACUGAAGAGCUCCUAAUGAUGCCAGCCAUCUACCUCCUGAAUAUCGUCAUAUUCUAUUGGUAGCUGACUCCCAUCAUCGAGAGUUCCACAAAGCACGAAGAAAGAAACAUUCGUGGAUCGAAGAAUACAUAGGACUCACUCUGGGUGAUAACUCCGCUUGCUCUGCUCAUCUACGAAAGUACCACUGAACUCUGCAACUCUACCCCUCGCGGGUUCUAACUAUUCUUUCGCUAAGUACCACGGUACUCAUCUAGGCAUCUCCCCUAGAUUACUCCUCUACUCAAAUCCCCUAAAGGAUUCCAGCUAAAUAUUCUCACUCAUCACAUACUCAAACGCACAUCACAUAUAACAGCAACCCCUAGGCUAAAGCAUCACAAAUCAGGCCACUCUAGUCCUAAGAUAUGAAGUACCUAGCCUGUCUCUAGCAUGCAUAAUAUUUCAUAAAGUGCAUCAUAAAUAUCUCACAACACAAAAGUAAGGGUAUUUUGGGAAAUCACCGUUCGGGCGGUGACUGAUCGUACACACGACUCUGCUCUGUGUUUUCCAAAAAUCUUUUACUCUUUUUAGAAAACUUGGUUCUUUUUUGAAAAUAUUUCUCAAAUCCUCAGUUUGAGUUCAAAUACGCCCGAAGGUGUACUCGAAUCCCUCAAACCAAGGCUCUGAUACCAACUUGUAACACCGUGAAUUUCAAAACAACUUUUCGCAUUUUAUAAAAACAUAAUUCAUUCAUUAUUCAUGAAAACAUCAUUGUUUAAAACCUAAUUCGUAACAUAUAUCAAUCCCAAGAUCUCAUAACAUAAAAAUCCCGUGUGUGUACUGAUCAGGCCGGCGCCUUCCCGCGAUCCUCAAUAGUACCUGAAACACAUAACACAAAACAUUGUAAGCACGAAGCUUAGUGAGUUCCCCAAAAUACCAUAUAUAUAUAUAUAACACAUAUUAGCCACUCAUGGCUAUAACUCUGUGGGUCCGUGCACCCAAACUCUGUGAACCUUCCGGUUCUAACUCUGAGAACCUUACGGUUCUAACUCUGUAACAUGCACAUCAUAAAUCACAUAGAAAUAAUGUAGUACAACACAUAACAUACAUAGCAUACAAUUACUCUGAUACAUAACUCUGGUUACCUACUCAAGGUAAGGUAUAGUGAGAAGACUCACCUCGGAUAUCUCAGUAAAUCUCUGACUCGGUAAACUCUGGUCUAGCCCCUGCCUAUUCACAUGAAAUAAAUACUCUAAUUAAUACAACUCUCAGGGCUAGGAUAAUCUCUCUCUCUCUCUCUCUCUAUACAUCCUCUAGGAAGGGUAAAAGACUAUCCUACCCUUCCGAUGACUCUAAGGUCCAAACAUUGACUAACCCUAAAAGUCAACGAAGUCAACGGUCAACCUUGACCAAACUCGCCGAGUGCACAACUGUGACUCGGCGAGUCCACACGUGUUCUUCACUCUCUUAGUCCUCAUUCCAUUCACCGAGUCAACCCCAACUCUGCAAAUCAUCACUGAUCACAAUCUGUGAAAUGUCCCGACCCAACUCGUCGAGUUCGGCNCUCUGUCCUCUAGAUUCCCUCUGACUCACCGAGUCACUUCCCCAACUCAGUGAGUCACCAACUGUGUGAUUAUCGGGAAAACCCUCGUCCUACUCGGCGAGUCGGCUAUCGGACUCGGCGAGUUCAUGCCAUGCUCAAGCUGAACUGACCUCCUGAGGUCAGAUCCGCUCCUCUAAACAGUAGAUCAGGCUUCCCAAAGCAUUAUAAUCAUGUAAAGCUAACAUCUUGGUGCUCAUGCAAAGGCUCAAAGGCCUUAUUUGAAGAUAUGACCUCUAAAAUGACAUGCUAAGCUUAUAACCCCCAUUAACACUCAUAAAGCUCAAGGGAAAAGGGUCUCUGGUCCUCUUUGGGUCCAGAUCUACAGCACCAACACGAGAAGGGACCAAUUACUCAAUAUAACCUUCCUCUAAAGGGGCUAAAAAAGCCCUAACUCUAGGAAUUACACCAUAAACUGAAGAAGGGUCGAAUGAAUACCUCAAAAUGAAGUCUCUGAGCCCUGGAAUCACUGGAUUAGCACCCUCUUCAGCUUCCUCUUGUCUUGAUCCUCUUCUAUUUGCAAAAACACUAACAAAUGAUCAAGAAAUGGCUCCUUUCCUCUCACAAUCGCUCUAGCUCACUUAGGGUUUCUCUCUGGGGUCUGGUAGCCACAAAUGACGGCCAUAAGGCCCUUUAAAUAGGCCCCAAACCCGAGGAAUUAGGGUUUCAUUAAACAGCGUGGACUCGCCGAGUCCUUGGGGCGACUCGCCGAGUCCAACCAUCCACCCAGAUAAUGAUUCGCGUCUCUACUCGGCGAGUCUACGC